RNAcentral lists this ribosomal RNA (253 nucleotides) under uncultured bacterium. RNAcentral's name for it is "partial 16S ribosomal RNA". It matches the Rfam family "Bacterial small subunit ribosomal RNA", at positions 524 to 776 of the family's 1533-position model. The record is from RNAcentral.
UACGUAGGAUGCAAGCGUUGUCCGAAUUUAUUGGGUUUAACGGGUGCGUAGGCGGCUUAUUAAGUUAGUGGUGAAAACGUUCGGCUUAACCGGAUACCCGCCAUUGAUACUGAUAGACUUGAGUGCGACAGAGGGUGUUGGAAUGUGUGGUGUAGCGGUGAAAUGCUUAGAUAUCCCGCAGAACACCAAUUGCGAAGGCAGAUGCCUAUGUCGUAACUGACGCUGAGGCACGAAAGCGUGGGGAGCAAACAGG